GUGGCUAUAGCUCAGUGGUAGAGUGCAUGCUUAGCAUGCACAAAAUUUGGGUUCAAUUCCUAGUACCUUCA
Molecule: transfer RNA, 71 nt
Filed under: Camelus bactrianus (Bactrian camel)
Lineage: Eukaryota; Metazoa; Chordata; Mammalia; Artiodactyla; Camelidae
Also listed under: 2 other names
Rfam family: tRNA
About the family: Transfer RNA (tRNA) molecules are approximately 80 nucleotides in length. Their secondary structure includes four short double-helical elements and three loops (D, anti-codon, and T loops).
Source: Rfam by way of RNAcentral